AUGUGGUCUGUCUGCACGAGGCCGUGUGUCAGCAGCUCCGUCAGCGCUGUCUGUCCUUCCUUCCCCACAGGGCUGAUGGCGGCCGUGACGUUGGACGAGUCCGGGGGCGGCCUCCAGGCACCCAGAGGAGGGAUCAGCCUCGUCUGCAAGGGCUCUGGAUUCACCUUCAGCAGUUACAACAUGCAGUGGGUGCGACAGGCACCCGGCAAGGGGCUGGAAUACGUCGCUGAAAUUAGCAGUGCUGGUAGUGACACAAGAUACGGGGCGGCGGUGCAGGGCCGUGCCACCAUCUCCAGGGACAACGGGCAGAGCACAGUGAGGCUGCAGCUGAACAACCUCAGGGCUGAGGACACCGCCACCUACUGCUGCGCCAAAGAUGCUUAUGGUUGUUCUGGUGCUUACGGUUGUUGGGGUCAUGCUGGUUGCAUUGACUUGACAGGGACACAUUGUGCAUCUGCAUCUGGGAAGGUUCCAGCUGGGACUCAGAGCUCUGUGCUGGGAGCAGAGAAUUUUAUCCCCAGCAACACCGUCUCCAUUACCAUCACCUUUUCCAUUCCUGUUUCCAUGUCUAUUUCAAGACCUGUAUCCAUAACCAUGACCAUAACCAUCACCAUCUGCUUUACAGUAUUCAUAUCCAAAUCCACUUCCAUCACAUUUCUGUGA
Phasianus colchicus (ring-necked pheasant) is the source of this 663-nucleotide non-coding RNA. Lineage: Eukaryota; Metazoa; Chordata; Aves; Galliformes; Phasianidae. The record is from the annotation of a RefSeq genome assembly.